CCCGAGAACACCCUUACUGAGUCACCAAUCAACGCUGUGAUAGGUCAUCUAUGCUGUGCAUUACGGUCGGGGACCUUGGCGGCGGAGCUGCGCGCUGGCCUACUUCUGCCACCGAGUGUAGUCAUCCGCCGAGGCGCGUCGUUCUCACCACCGGAGAACCAGCGAGUGGGAGGGAGACGCCAUGUUGCUUUCAACAGUUUUUAUGUCAUGACGAUUUCUUAACGUUAUUUGCCUUUGAUAAAGCAGAGACCCUACGUUAAGAGAUUGUCAAAUAACAUAACAAAUUAUUACAUUAUUACACAUAUAUUACUAAAAAUGUCAAUGACUUCACAAGCGAAACAAUUUUGAGCACUUCAGGCAUUCCACUUUAUUAUGAAAAUAUCCUUUAACGAAGCCUAUAUUGAAAAAUUAAACGGGAUGAAAUUGUUAUGGCCUAAAAACUGUUGAAACCACGAUGGCGUCGUCUGGUUCCUACUUCUCCCCCUUAAAUGGGUAUUUUGAGGCGCUCGCAACGAGCGCUAUGAGUAAUGGUGACGUAAGUUUUUUUUUCCUUUUCAAUUGUAACUCGUUUAGAGUUUCACGAAUGUGUUCAAUUAAAAUCAUGAAAAAUA
This is a long non-coding RNA of Bacillus rossius redtenbacheri, 611 nucleotides long. RefSeq lists it as uncharacterized. The record is from RefSeq and is a predicted model, not a curated record. The transcript is spliced from 2 exons. Lineage: Eukaryota; Metazoa; Arthropoda; Insecta; Phasmatodea; Bacillidae.